RNAcentral lists this ribosomal RNA (443 nucleotides) under uncultured bacterium. RNAcentral describes it as "partial 16S ribosomal RNA". It matches the Rfam family "Bacterial small subunit ribosomal RNA", at positions 338 to 795 of the family's 1533-position model. The record is from RNAcentral.
CCUACGGGUGGCAGCAGUGGGGAAUAUUGGGCAAUGGGCGCAAGCCUGACCCAGCAACGCCGCGUGAAGGAAGAAGGCCCUCGGGUUGUAAACUUCUUUUUACAGGGACGAAACAAAUGCCGGUCCUUUCUUAUUACACCCAGGUUAAUACCAUGCAAGCGGCCCCGGUAAUACGUAGGUGGCAAGCGUUAGCCGGAGUUCCUGGGUGUAAAGGGCGUUUAGGCGGGUGGGCAAGUCAGAUGUGAAAUUCUGGGGCUUAACCGUAGAAUUGCAUUUGAAACUGUUUUUCUUGAGUGCUGGGGAGGCAGGCGGAAUUCGGGGUGUAGCGGUGAAAUGCGUAGAUAUUAGGAGGAACACCAGUGGCGAAGGCGGCCUGCUGGACAGUAACUGACGGUGAGGCGCGAAAGCGUGGGGAGCAAACAGGAUUAGAUACCCCUGUAGUC